GGAUUUGAGGUGAGCUGGCCCUGGCACCUGUCACCACAUGGAUCACCGGCUGAUUCGGCUGCUCUGGCUGCUGGGUGUGUGCCCCUUGCCCCCUCACGCUCCACGUGUAUCCCUCCUGAAGCUGCACUCAGUGAAGAGGACCAACGUCCCCAUACAGGAAGACCAGAGGACUUCUUCAGCUGAGAGUAUAGGAGUAGCUGCGCUCCUGGCCAGAACUCCACCUGCGUCCUUAGGGCCAAACAGCUAGAAGAGAGGAUUUUGCAUGUUCCCUACUUCUAUAGAAAUCCUUACACUGGGUCUCU
Spermophilus dauricus (Daurian ground squirrel) is the source of this 302-nucleotide unclassified non-coding RNA. Its record names the gene 7SK. It matches the Rfam family "7SK RNA". From Rfam's summary of the family: 7SK was discovered as an abundant small nuclear RNA in the mid-70s but a possible function has only recently been suggested. Two independent studies have found that 7SK RNA binds the CDK9/cyclin T complex (known as elongation factor P-TEFb). The record is from Ensembl. NCBI's taxonomy places the organism in Eukaryota, Metazoa, Chordata, Mammalia, Rodentia, Sciuridae.